GUASGUGGCAAGCGUUGUCCGGAUUUACUGGGCGUAAAGAGCGCSCAGGCGGUCGUUCAAGUCGCGUGUGAAAGCCCCCGGCUCAACUGGGGAGGGUCACGCGAUACUGAUCGACUCGAAGGCAGGAGAGGGAAGUGGAAUUCCCGGUGUAGUGGUGAAAUGCGUAGAUAUCGGGAGGGACACCAGUGGCGAARGCGACUUCCUGGCCUGUUCUUGACGCUGAKGCGCGAAAGCUAGGGGAGCAAACGGGAUUAGAUACCCCGGUAGUCCUAGCCGUAAACGAUGGACACUAGGUGUUGGUGGUAUCAWCCCCGCCAGUGCCGAAGCUAACGCAUUAAGUGUCCCGCCUGGGGAGUACGGYCGCAAGGCU
Molecule: ribosomal RNA, 370 nt
Filed under: uncultured bacterium
Lineage: Bacteria
Description: bacterial SSU rRNA
Rfam family: Bacterial small subunit ribosomal RNA
Source: RNAcentral